This 75-nucleotide transfer RNA is filed under the name Adhaeribacter terreus. RNAcentral describes it as "tRNA-Glu". It matches the Rfam family "tRNA". Rfam says of the family: Transfer RNA (tRNA) molecules are approximately 80 nucleotides in length. Their secondary structure includes four short double-helical elements and three loops (D, anti-codon, and T loops). Further hydrogen bonds mediate the characteristic L-shaped molecular structure. tRNAs have two regions of fundamental functional importance: the anti-codon, which is responsible for specific mRNA codon recognition, and the 3' end, to which the tRNAs corresponding amino acid is attached (by aminoacyl-tRNA synthetases). tRNAs cope with the degeneracy of the genetic code in two manners: having more than one tRNA (with a specific anti-codon) for a particular amino acid; and 'wobble' base-pairing, i.e. permitting non-standard base-pairing at the 3rd anti-codon position. The record is from RNAcentral. RNAcentral also lists the same sequence under 2 other names. Lineage: Bacteria; Pseudomonadati; Bacteroidota; Cytophagia; Cytophagales; Hymenobacteraceae.
GGUCCAUUCGUCUAGGGGUUAGGACACCAGAUUUUCAUUCUGGUAACAGGGGUUCGAUUCCCCUAUGGACUACCA